Molecule: non-coding RNA, 22 nt
Filed under: Rattus norvegicus (Norway rat)
Lineage: Eukaryota; Metazoa; Chordata; Mammalia; Rodentia; Muridae
Source: RNAcentral
GGUCAGAAGCUCAAUGGCGCCA